AAAACGUUUUCUUUUUAAACAUUUUAUUCGAUUCUGGCUGUACAAUAGUUUAACACGAUUUGUAUUUCAGUAAUUGAUUAAACGUAAUAUAUUCGUGGCGUCAAUGGAUAUGAGAAUAUUUUUAUAGAAUGCGUGCUGCAUUAAUACAACGGAAUUUAGUGCCUAUGAAUGGUGCACACGGCAACCAUUACACGUUUAAAUUUUUUAAAUAAAAUAAAAGAUCCGUGAUUUUCAUCAAUUGGUACAAUAAUUUAUUUUUUUUUAUACAUUUGUUGCAAAUUUAUCUGUGUUUUUAAUUUUUUAAUUUGGACAAUACCCAAA
Non-coding RNA from Cinara cedri, 321 nucleotides. Lineage: Eukaryota; Metazoa; Arthropoda; Insecta; Hemiptera; Aphididae. The record is from the annotation of a GenBank genome assembly.